GACGAACGCUGGCGGCGUGCCUAAUACAUGCAAGUAGAACGCUGAAGGAGGAGCUUGCUCUUCUGGAUGAGUUGCGAACGGGUGAGUAACGCGUAGGUAACCUGCCUGGUAGCGGGGGAUAACUAUUGGAAACGAUAGCUAAUACCGCAUAACAGUAGAUGUUGCAUGACAUUUGCUUAAAAGGUACAAUUGCAUCACUACCAGAUGGACCUGCGUUGUAUUAGCUAGUUGGUGGGGUAACGGCUCACCAAGGCGACGAUACAUAGCCGACCUGAGAGGGUGAUCGGCCACACUGGGACUGAGACACGGCCCAGACUCCUACGGGAGGCAGCAGUAGGGAAUCUUCGGCAAUGGACGGAAGUCUGACCGAGCAACGCCGCGUGAGUGAAGAAGGUUUUCGGAUCGUAAAGCUCUGUUGUAAGAGAAGAACGAGUGUGAGAGUGGAAAGUUCACACUGUGACGGUAUCUUACCAGAAAGGGACGGCUAACUACGUG
Molecule: ribosomal RNA, 495 nt
Filed under: uncultured bacterium
Lineage: Bacteria
Description: partial 16S ribosomal RNA
Rfam family: Bacterial small subunit ribosomal RNA
Source: RNAcentral